This 1489-nucleotide long non-coding RNA is filed under the name Homo sapiens (human). RNAcentral describes it as "HSALNT0385571". Lineage: Eukaryota; Metazoa; Chordata; Mammalia; Primates; Hominidae. The record is from RNAcentral.
CAACCCUCCCGCGCAGGCCAUAAGAGGCAAAUGAACCUUUGUUGGUUGGCGGGAAAUCGAGACCCUGGCAAGGGGGCUUCUCCCUUGGAGAAGCCUGAGAACUGCCAGGUCCGCGGCCGUUAACCCGCCUCUAGGGACGGCCGCACUGCGCAUGUCUGAAAGGGAACUAGAAAGGGAGGAGCGAGAGAGGGUGGGGCUGAGGAGGAGGCUGUGUGAGAAAAGGGGCGGGGCGCGCCCAAAGUCUGGCGGAAGAGCGUUACCCUGGCAACCCUCCCGCGGAGGCCGAGAGAGGCCACCGGCCCUUUGUUGAUCUGCGAGAAAUCAAACUACGAACACGACAAGCAUUAGCCUGCAGCUCGAGGAGACAAGGAAUAAAUCCAACUUGAUCAUAACAUCCAACUGUGUUGCCCAGGCUAGUCUCAAACUCCUGGAUUCAAGAGCCCCUCUCCUCUCAGCCUACGAAAGUGCUGGGAUUAAAGUCCUGAACUGACAGCCACAAGUGGCACCUGAACAGGGACUUGAACAAAGAAGGUCUGCUGGAGCAGAAAAAGUGAAACUGACCAGAUGAAUGAGAAACCCUGGGAUGAGUCUGCCUGCAGAGGAUAUAAGGAGAUGGAUAAACCGUGUGAGUGCCCUCAAGUUGUGUGCGACCAUGGAAUGGGAGACUGGAGGGAUACAUGGAUCCCAACUACAGGCCCAGCUCCUCCAGUAUGAGCCAUGAGCCAGUUGAAUCUGAAUGUGAAGAUGGAAUGAAGACCGACGAGAGUCACACUGACGUCAACCCUCAUAACAUGGGCAGCAAAAAAGGACCAACUCCAGUCUGUAAAAUCAACUGGAACACCAACCAGCAAUUGAGAGCUGAACAGCCUGCAAUUACCUUUAUUCAAUUAAAUCAAAAGCAGAAAGGGGGAGAUGUUGGAGGCUGAAAGAAUGAGGGUCAUGACCAACUCAGUAUACCACUGGAGGCUAUGUGAGCAAACAGCAAACUGUUCUCAUGAAUACAGGAUAUUGGCAAGCUGACAGCUGCAUCUGCCACCAGAAGGAAUGCUGAGGACAGUCAUGCAUCAGGCACAGUGUUCCUUGUAGUUAUCUAUAGGAACAUCUGGACCCUGUUGUAUAAAGAAAGCAAUUAUUUGAGCCUGUGAUAAAUCAAGCAGCUGACUAAAACUGUUACCUCUUCCUCCCUGUUGAUUCUACCUAAUACAUGUGAAGGGCUGUAUAAGCUCAGGGCCCUUGUUCCCUAGAAGCAAGGAGCCCCCUGACCCCUUCUUUACAACAAAUCUUUUUGUUUUUGUCUUCAUUUCUGCAUUCAUCCUCCUUCGUUCAGUCCCGAACCGACAGCCACAUGAUCUGGCAAUCCCAUUUCUGGAUAUCUAUAUAAAUGUUCAAAGCAGGACCUGAAAGAAACAUUUCACACCCCUGUUUAUAAGAGAUUUAUUCUAAAAAUCCAAAAGGUAGAAGCUACUUGAAUGUCCCUUGACAGAUAAAU